ACAACACUGCUAACCAGAAUAAAUCAAUGCUUCUUGCAGUUUUCACUUCCUAACAGGAUUAUUCAGAGCUGAGACCACAUCUUGGCCAAAUAUCCUACUUAUUCCUUGGGAGCCGGCGCUGGCCACAGAACUGCUUGAAGAAGUGCGCGCCCUUUUGCGCAGAACGAAUGCAAAAAGGACUUGUCAUAAAAGUGCAGCCAUGUAAUUUUCUAAAUGAAAGCAGAGGAGCAGCCAAAAAAGCUAAGAAAAUGUAUUAAAAUGCAGGCCACCGCAAAACAAACAACAGCACUAACAAAACAACAAAAAUUCUAAACAGAACGCAAUUUUCGCAAGUUGUAUUAAAAAAUUGUUGUAAAGGGGACAGAAAAAAUGCAAGAAGAAGGCGAAAAAAAAUAAAUAAAAUAGAAUGACAAA
Molecule: long non-coding RNA, 414 nt
Organism: Drosophila montana
Lineage: Eukaryota; Metazoa; Arthropoda; Insecta; Diptera; Drosophilidae
Exons: 2
Source: RefSeq, a predicted model, not a curated record